RNAcentral lists this ribosomal RNA (253 nucleotides) under uncultured bacterium. Its description in RNAcentral is "partial 16S ribosomal RNA". It matches the Rfam family "Bacterial small subunit ribosomal RNA", at positions 524 to 776 of the family's 1533-position model. The record is from RNAcentral.
UACGUAGGGGGCAAGCGUUGUCCGGAAUCAUUGGGCGUAAAGAGCGUGUAGGCGGCCAGAAAAGUCCGCUGUGAAAACUCGAGGCUCAACUUCGAGCUGUCGGUGGAAACUUUCUGGCUAGAGUCCGGAAGAGGAGAAUGGAAUUCCUGGUGUAGCGGUGAAAUGCGCAGAUAUCAGGAGGAACACCGAUGGCGAAGGCAGGUCUCUGGGCCACUACUGACGCUGAGAAGCGAAAGCAUGGGGAGCGAACAGG